UGAUGGAAACUAGUCAGGCUUCAUCUUGUAUUCCCCGUUCAGUGACUAAUGGAACCAAAUGGGAUUCCGGGUGUCUGUACGGCAUCACUGAAGGAGUCUUUUCUCCGGUGGGAUAUCUUGUCGCCCCCUCCAUAGGAGAUACUCCAGCAUCAAACUUUCAGGCUACGAUUCAAGAUCCGGCAUUCAGAACAGCUUCAUCUUCUCAAAGUUUGCCUCUAUCUUUUAAUUGGUCUAGCAGAUUUUCAGAUAUGAUACGCAUGAGAUCAUCUGCAAACUUUGAAGGCAAAGAUAUUUCUCUUCCUCUAGAUAACAGAAAUUUUGAAGGUUACUCUCCUUUGGUUCCUGAUGGAACUACCAUCACGGACCAUAGAGUUGGUGAGCAUUCAACAUGUUCUAUAAUUAUUGGACUAUCUUGUAAAGGUCAACAAAGGAAGUUACAGAGUGAAUCCUCUUCUUGUGGUAUAAACAAUUUUAAGCUUCAACACUUGGAAUGUCAGCCUGAUAAACCUAUUUCAACAGAGAUGGAUAUAGUCCUGGAUUCUGCUGUAUCCAACAAAGCUAACACAGAUAUGAGAGAUGACAGUAUGACAUUACAUAAUUCCUAUGUAUAUUUAAGAGAAGAUAAUAGUCUACCAGAUAAAGCCAAUGAUGAUGCAGGAGAAGAUGGUAUAAUAUCAGAUAUUUUGUCUCUGGCUCUUGGUCAGGUUGAUCAUCUGAUAGAUCGUUAUAAUCUCAGCGAACUGCUGAGUGGCACUAAUGAAAGUGACUACUCAAAAUCCUAUAAUUCUUGGAUGCCAUGCAAUAGCAGUGAAUCCAAAUUUUCUUUUGCAAGGUUAGAUGAUUCCAACUGUGGAAAAGAGCAAUCAUUUCCUUUAGAUUCCUAUGUUUUUGCUCUUGAUAUAAAAACUGACCAGCUAGACAUUGAGGAAAAGAAAGUAGGCAAUACAAACACCUCUCUCAGUGGGUUAUCUGCUUAUGAUAUGGACAAUCCUGAGAUUCUGAACAGCCGUCAUAGAUCUUCUGCAUGUGAUGUUGCCAAUGAAUCAAAACAUCCAUCUAGUUUGCGUCAGUCAGCUUCUCCUAUUUCAAGGUCUGAGGUGUUGCCUUCUUCUGGAUUUCCUGCCGGGAUUAGGUCCAUUUCUCCUUGCUUCUAUCCUCGACAUGUGGAUGACACAGAUCAAGCUUUUUGCAAGCUUACAAAUUCUGGUUCUAUUGCUGAAUACCAGAUUUCUGGAAAUUCACCUUGUAUAAAUUCCUCUCAAGAAAAUCCCGGUUCCAACAGCUUUAAUGGUCCUCAGAUUGAUCAGAUUAAUCAGAUUAAUGGUUCUGCAACUGCAUCACUAUGUAAAGGAAAGUUGUCACAGUCAAUGAUACGGCAGUUUUCUCUGAGCUCUAACUCGAUUAGUCUUGCCGAGGCUGAUCAGAGGCUUCAGUUUCAGGCAAGAAUGAGAAAUUUGACUCAAAAUCUGGUGACGUUAAUGAAUCAAAAUAGGAACAUGACCUUACAGGAUAUGGUGAAUAAUUAUGACGGGACAUGGGGAUCAUGUAAUAUUGGCAGUCCAACUGCAAUGGAGUCUGGGGUUACUGGCAGAGGUCAAUCUGCUCUGGAUGAGAUUAUACAUCAUUUAAUUCCUGGUUCAAAGCAAGGAUCUUGGAGACUGUCAAGAACAUGAGAAACCCUGUUUUCAGGUUCCUGAUUCUUCUGGUUUACUGUUUAACGUACAAUAUGAGCAAAGUUUUUGUUGUUUGAAGCUCCUCUCUGUGAUGCUAUGGCUCAUUGUAUUGGGGCCUUCAAAUGAACUUGUAUCAGUUGGUGCCAAAAUUUUCUGAACCUCUGAGACUUGCAACUAUGGGAUCCAUGGAGUUGGUUAAAUUCCAAUAGGGUGAUGUGAUCUGCAGAGUUGCUUGGUUGUAGAUGUUUGCAGUUAUGCCCAACCCAGCCGCCUGGAUGGAUGGAAAAUGAGGUGGUUGUUUUGGUCUCUUGCACGCUGACGCAUGUAGACUCGUUGAAUUCUUGAGCAAUCUUUUACACCGUGGCAUGUAACACCCAGGCAGAUAGACAAAUGAAAAACCCUCAAUUUCUAAUUUCAACCGUGUAAAUGGCUUUCAGACCUUUUUGUUGUUUUUCUUUUUUCUCCAUGAUCUCUAUGUAGAUCGGUACAUGAAAAUUCUUGCGUGUUUUCGUUCUUUUA
Molecule: non-coding RNA, 2192 nt
Organism: Phoenix dactylifera (date palm)
Lineage: Eukaryota; Viridiplantae; Streptophyta; Magnoliopsida; Arecales; Arecaceae
Source: RefSeq, a predicted model, not a curated record